GGCCAGGUUCCAGAAGCAUUCUCUCCUGAUGUUUUGCCCACAUCUAUGGCAGGCAUGCUCAGAGGUUGUUGAGGUCUCUUGGAAAUUAGUCUAGUGGGGUUUACAUAUCUGUGGAAUAAUGUCCAGGGUGGGAGAAAGAAACAAAACCUCUCUGUUGGAGGCAAGUGUGAAUGUUGCAAUUGAUUAGCAUUGAAUAGCCUUGCAGCUUCAAAGCCUGGCUGCUUCCUGCCUGGGCGAAAUCCUUUGUUGGGAGGUGUUAACUGGCCCUGAUUGUUUCCUGUCUGGAAUUCUCCUGUCUUCUGAGUAUUGUUAUUUAUUUACUGUGCUGUGGUCUGGAAACAGAAUAUUUUGGGGCUCUUAAAAGAAUGAAUAUGCAACCUACUGUUACUUGGAGCAGCUGUUUUGCAGGCUGACUAAUCUGGAUCUGAGACUCUCCCUUCGUUAAGAUAUUCAAGUGAAUACAUGCAACGUGGAAGAUGUGAAAAAAAAUAUGGCGCGUUGGUUUAAAAAAAAAAAACUGGGCUCGCGCUGUGAGCAGGAUUCGAACCUGCGCAGGGAAACCCUAUUGGAUUUCGAGUCCAACGCCUUAACCACUCGGCCAUCACAGCCACCUGAUGCGUAGAAGGGGGGCCGCGCGCACCUAUCCUUUGCUUUGGCAUUGCCUUCCUUGCAAUGCAAAGCCUCUUUUUGGAGUGUACCAUUUCAGAGAUGGAGGGGGAGAAAACAGUUCCAGGGACCCAAAUGCUUCUUUCUGCGCACGCGUGUCGCCUCUUACGGAGUAGUAGAAUCCUAGGCCAAAGCUGUAAUAUAAUAACCAUCUUUGCAUCUCAAUUUCUAGCUGCAGGGACCCUGCAAUUAUUCAAUUGUUUGGGCCCACUCACCUGCGCUCUAAAAUGGUAUGUCCCCUUUGAGUCCCAAUUUUGAAGCUGAAACAGAAAAGCAGGGCAAGCACUGAGCCUUAUUUUUGGGACUGAAAGAGAAAAGAAAGGCAGGUGUUUUGGACUUCAGCUCCCAGAAUUCCUGAUUACCGGACAAGCUGGCUAGGGCUUCUAACAAUUAAAGGCCCAAACACCUGGUUUAUGCCCAUCUUUCUCUUGGGAUGGAAUACAAAAACCGAAGACAAACACCUGUUUCAACUUGUGCAAAACCAGGUACUUUUGCUAAUUGUUAUAGCAGUCAUGGCAUCAAUAGGUCAGAGUGAAGUAAAGGCCGCGUUUUGGACUGGAGUCCCCAGAAUCCACCAGAUAUCAUGGAGUUCUGGUCCAAAGAAGUAUAUCACUUCGUGGAGACUGUAGUAGAUGAUGGUGGCUUUUCCAGUCAAACGUGGGUAUGAUCAACUGGUUCCACUGUGAUCCAUUAGGAUUUGGAGGCCCUAUCUAUACCGCUAUAUAAUGCAGUUUCAAACUGCAUUAUUUGGCCAUAUAUGGAAAUGGGACAUAUGUAUGUAAGUAUGUAUGCAUAUAUAUAGGCGCCCCUGAUGGUGCAGCGGGUUAAACCGCUGAGCUGCUGAACUUGCUGACCCAAAGGUUGGUGGUUGGAAUCUGGGGUGCGGGGUGAGCUCCCACUGUUAGCCCUAGCUUCUGUCAAUCUUAACAGUUUGAAAACAUGCAAAUGUGAAUAGAUCAAUAAGUGCUGUUCCGGCAGGAAGGUAAGAACGCUCCAUGCAGUCAUGCCAGCCACAUGACUUUGGAGGUGUCUAUGGACAACGCUCUUUUUAAAGCUCUUCGGCUUAAAAAUGGAGAUGAGCAUCAACCCUCAGAGUUGGACACGACUGGACUUAAUGUCAGGGGAAAACCAAAAAUUCAUUCUCAUAUAUGUGUGUGUGUAUAUAUAUAUGUGUGUGUGUGUAUGUGUGUGUGUGUGUGUAUAUAUAUAUAUAUAGGUAAAGGUUUUCCCCUGACAUUAAGUCCAGUCAUGACCGACUCUGGGGGUUGGUGCUCAUCUCCAUUUCUAAGCCGAAGAGCCGGCGUUGUCCGUAGACACCUCCAAGGUCAUGUGGCCGGCAUGACUGCAUGGAGUGCCGUUACCUUCCCGCCGGAGCGGUACCUAUUGAUAUACUCACAUUUGCAUGUUUUCAAACUGCUAGGUUGGCAGGAGCUGGUGCUAACAGCGGGUGCUCAUUCUGCUCCCGGGAUUUGAACCUGGGACCUUUCGGUCCGCAAGUUCAGCAGCUCAGCACUUUAACACACUGUGCCACCACCAGGGGCCCAUAUAUACAUAUAUACACACAUAUAUACAUACACACACACACACACACACACACACACGAUUCAGCCCAGAUCACAGUGCCCCCUAGGCCCCUCCUGGAGUACUGCAGCCCACUCCCCAAUAUUCCCAUUUGCUGAGUUGGGUGUCAAAUGGGUCACUUGGCAAGUUGGACCAUCUUGAGUUGUGAACAAUUCCCCCAAAAAGGUGUGAUUAGGAAAAGUCCGGGACCUGAAGCCAGCUCUUGUUCCCACGGACUAGAAAGAGAGCAUUUGCGAGGAGGUGAUAGUCAUAAAUGCCUAAAUCAGCCACAACUUGCUCUUAAAAACAAGGGGUGGUCAAGGGAUGGGGUGAUAACAGCAGAGGAAAAACAACCCAGCCACCCGUACCAUGAUCCUAUUGACCAUCCCUCCUCAUACUUACACCGAAUGGGGUCAGGAAGAUGGAGAUGGUUGCAUUUGAAAAAUAUCGCCACCUUGCACAAUCACCUGAUGUUUUCUUGAAAAGCAAAUCAUUGCAGCGGGGAUCUUGCCUGCAAUAUGAAAAAGGGAGAAAAAGAAGCUUAUCUGAGUUUAAUAAUAACAAAAACAAAAAUGUUAUUUCUUAUUUACCUCUCUUUGCAGCAUGAGAUGGGACACAACAUAGGCUCCUACUAUACUGCCAUAUAAAUCCAGAUUAUCCUCUUUGAACUGGAUUUUGUGGCAGUGUAGACUCAUGUAAUCCAAUUCAAAGCAGAUCAUGUGGAUUACCUGCUUUGAUAAUCUGUAUUAUAUGGCAAUAUGGAAUGGGCCAUAGUUAUAUUAACAUACACAGAGCAGAGAUUAAUAAUAGGCCACCAUUCACCCCUGUGUUCCUUUAAAUAAUCAGCUCAAAUGCAAGUAAAUUGAGUUCAGUGUGUUCUUCCAAAGUAAAGGUGAGUAGUGUAUGUGCCUAUAGGGGUACGUCUACAGAAUGAAUGCAGUUUUGUGGGUUGCUGUGAGUGUUCUGGGCUGUAUGGCCAUGUUCCAGAAGCAUUCUCUCCUGACAUUUCGCCCACAUCUAUGGCAGGCAUCCUCAAUGGUUGUGAGGUCUGUUGGAAACUAAGCACGUGAGGUUUAUAUAUCUGUGGAAUAAUGUCCAGGGUGGGAGAAAGGACUCUUGUCUGUUUAAGGCAAGUGUGAAUGUUGGAAUUGGACAACUUGAUUGGCAUUGAGUGGCCUUUCAACUUCAAAGCCUGGCUGCUUCCUGCCUGGGGGAAUCCUUUGUUGGGAGGUGUUAGCUGGCUCUGAUUGUUUCUUGUCUGGAAUUGCCCUGUAUUCUGAGUGUUGUUCUUUAUUUACUGUACUGAUUUUAGAGUUUUUUUUUAAUACUGAUAGCCAGAUUGUGUUCGUUUCCAUGGUUUCCUCUUUUCUGUUGAAAUUGUCCACAUGCUUGUGAAUUUCAAUGGCUUCACUGUGCAGUCUGACAUAGUGAUUAUUAGAGUGGUCCAGCAACGUUAGGAGAGAAUGCUUCUGGAACAUGGCGACACAGCCUGGAAAACUCACAGCAACCCAGUGAUUCUGUCCAUGGAAAUCUUUGACAACACAAUGCAAGAUUGCCCAAACCCGCUUUAGAAUGAAUGAGCAAAAAAAAAAAAAAAAAAUCAUGUUGCAUUGGCCGGGAAUCGAACCCGGGCCUCCCGCGUGGCAGGCGAGAAUUCUACCACUGAACCACCAAUGCUCUGGAAAACAUCUGGAUUUUCCCCUGUGAGAUGCUGCUGCCUGAUGCUCACCUAAGCCAGCACUUACACUCCAUUCUCCAACUUUCCCAUUUUCAUUUCCAUGAUGAGAAACACAUUCAUCUUUUCCAGCUAUUAUCUAGAUAGAGUUUCACUUACCCAACAUUCGCUUAUCCAAUGUUCUGGAUUAUCCAACGCAGUUUGCCUUUUAGUAGUCAAUGUUUUUGUAGUCAGUGUUUUCAAUACAUUGUGAUGUUUUGGUGCUAAAUUUGUAAACACAGUAAUUACUACAUAGCAUUACUGCAUAUUGAACUACUUUUUCUGUCAAAUUUGUUGUAAAACUUGAUGUUUUGGUGCUUAGUUUGUAAAAGCAUAAUCUAAUUUGAUGUUUAAUAGGCUUUUCCUUAAUCCCUCCUUAUUAUACAAAAUAUUCUCGUAUCCAAUGUUCUGCCGGCCCAUUUAUGUUGGAUAACUGAGACUCUACUGUAUUAUUAAAUGUCCAAACAUCUACAUCAGGAAUGGGCAAACUUAGACCCUGGGCCCUUCCAUACAGCCAUAUAAUCCGGAAUAUCAAGGCAGAUAAUCCAUAAAGUCUUUUUUGAAUUGGGUUAUCUCCUUCCACACAGCUGAAUAAAAUCCUACAUUAUCUGCUUUGAACUGGAUUAUAUGGCAGCGUGGACUCAAGACAACCCAGUUCAAAGCAGAUAUUGUGGGAUUUUCUGCCUUGAUAUUGAAGGUUAUAUGGCUGUGUGGAAGGGCCCUGAGCCAACACUGGCAUUGGUGGUUGUUUGAUAUUAUUACUGUUGUAUAAACCUUUGUUUUAACUUCUGUUUUAUUAUCUUCUCGUGUUUUAAACUGUGUAUAUUGUUAAUGUAUUUGCACUGUUACUUUUGUAACAUUGUGAACCGCCCCAAGUCCCCACGGGGAGAUGGUGGUGGGGUAUAAAUAAAGUUUAUUAUUAUUA
Anolis carolinensis (green anole) is the source of this 4865-nucleotide long non-coding RNA. RefSeq lists it as uncharacterized. The transcript is spliced from 2 exons. Lineage: Eukaryota; Metazoa; Chordata; Lepidosauria; Squamata; Anolidae. The record is from RefSeq and is a predicted model, not a curated record.